AUGAACACGGUACGGGUAUUGGUCUCGUGUGCUGCAAACUUUGGGUGGAAAUUGCACCAGUUAGAUGUCAAGAAUGCCUUCUUACAUGGUGACUUGAAAGAAGAGGUAUACAUGGAGAUACCGCCAGGUUUUGGCACAGAACAGACUACGGGGAAGGUAUGCAGGCUGAAGAAAUCCUUGUAUGGUCUGAAGCAAUCGCCGAGGGCAUGGUUUGAUAGGUUCAGACGAGCUGUUUGGAAUAUGGGGUAUGGCCAAUGUAAUGGUGACCACACGGUGUUUUAUAGACACACUAAUAAGAAGAUCACCAUUGUUGCAGUGUAUGUUGAUGAUAUCAUCAUCACUGGAGAUGAUGAGGAGGAAAUAAAGAGAGUGAAGGGGUGUCUGAGCAAGGAGUUUGAGGUAAAAGACUUAGGAAAUCUAAAGUACUUCCUUGGCAUAGAAGUGGCCCGGACAGAGAAGGGAAUAUCUUUGUGCCAACGAAAAUACACCUUGGAUCUUUUGAGUGACAUGGGCAUGAUGGGAUGUCGUGCAGCCCCUACUCCAAUUGAACAAAAUCAUCAAGUAACAGCACAAUCAGGUGAGCUAGUGAAUAAGGAAGAUUAUCAGAAGCUGGUUGGGAGGUUAUUGUACUUGUGUCAUACCAGGCCUGACAUUACGUAUGCCGUGGGGGUGGUGAGCAGAUACAUGCAUGAACCAAGGAGAGGGCAUCUUGAUAUUGUUCACAGAAUCCUGAGAUACUUGAAGGGGACUCCGGGUAAAGGGUUGUGGUUUGCGAAGAGUGGACAUCUUGAGGUGGAUGGCUAUAGUGACUCUGAUUGGGCUAGCUGUCAAGAUGAUAGACGAUCAACUUCAGGUAACUGUGUGUUUGUGGGAGGAAAUUUGGUGUCAUGGAGAAGCAAGAAACAGAAUGUUGUGUCUAGAUCAACAGCAGAAGCUGAAUAUAGAGCAUUAUCUCAAGGGUUGUGUGAUAUGCUCUGGGUGAAGCACCUACUAUGCGAGUUGAAACUCUUGAGGAAGGGACCCUUAAGGGUGUGGUGUGACAAUCAGUCAGCUAUAGCCAUUGCUAAUAACCCAGUUCAACAUGAUAGGACGAAGCAUGUGGAAAUUGGUCGCUUCUUCAUUAAAGAGAAACUUGAUGCUGGGAUCAUCAGCCUUACUCAUGUCAGCUCUGGGCAGCAGUUUGCAGAUUGCUUGACAAAGGGACUGGGAACAAAGGACUGUAACUUGGCGUGUGACAAGAUGGGGAUGAUAGAUAUCUACCACCCAUCUUGA
RNAcentral lists this ribosomal RNA (1272 nucleotides) under Triticum aestivum (bread wheat). RNAcentral's name for it is "partial small subunit ribosomal RNA". The record is from RNAcentral. Lineage: Eukaryota; Viridiplantae; Streptophyta; Magnoliopsida; Poales; Poaceae.